RNAcentral lists this ribosomal RNA (488 nucleotides) under uncultured bacterium. RNAcentral describes it as "partial 16S ribosomal RNA". It matches the Rfam family "Bacterial small subunit ribosomal RNA", at positions 28 to 507 of the family's 1533-position model. The record is from RNAcentral.
GACGAACGCUGGCGGCGUGCUUAACACAUGCAAGUCGAACGGAAAGGCCCUGCUUUUGUGGGGUGCUCGAGUGGCGAACGGGUGAGUAACACGUGAGUAACCUGCCCUUGACUUUGGGAUAACUUCAGGAAACAGGGGCUAAUACCGGAUAGGAGCUCCUGCUGCAUGGUGGGGGUUGGAAAGUUUCGGCGGUUGGGGAUGGACUCGCGGGUUAUCAGCUUGUUGGUGGGGUAGUGGCUUACCAAGGCUUUGAUGGGUAGCCGGCCUGAGAGGGUGAUCGGCCACACGGGAACUGAGACACGGUCCAGACGCCUACGGGAGGCAACAGUAGGGAAUCUGCCGCAAUGGGCGAGAGCCUGACGGAGCAACGCCGCGGUAGUGCUGAAGGUCUUCGGAUCGGAAAACUCUGUUAUUGGGGAAGAACAAAUGUGUAAGUAACGAUGCACGUCUUGACGGUACCUAAUCAGAAAGCCACGGCUAACUACGUG